AGACCCGAAACCCGGUGAUCUAGCCAUGGGCAGGUUGAAGGUUGGGUAACACUAACUGGAGGACCGAACCGACUAAUGUUGAAAAAUUAGCGGAUGACCUGUGGCUGGGGGUGAAAGGCCAAUCAAACCGGGAGAUAGCUGGUUCUCCCCGAAAGCUAUUUAGGUAGCGCCUCGUGAAUUCAUCUCCGGGGGUAGAGCACUGUUUCGGCUAGGGGGCCAUCCCGGCUUACCAACCCGAUGCAAACUGCGAAUACCGGAGAAUGUUAUCACGGGAGACACACGGCGGGUGCUAACGUCCGUCGUGAAGAGGGAAACAACCCAGACCGCCAGCUAAGGUCCCAAAGUCAUGGUUAAGUGGGAAACGAUGUGGGAAGGCCCAGACAGCCAGGAUGUUGGCUUAGAAGCAGCCAUCAUUUAAAGAAAGCGUAAUAGCUCACUGGUCGAGUCGGCCUGCGCGGAAGAUGUAACGGGGCUAAACCAUGCACCGAAGCUGCGGCAGCGACACUGUGUGUUGUUGGGUAGGGGAGCGUUCUGUAAGCCUGCGAAGGUGGCCUGUGAGGGUUGCUGGAGGUAUCAGAAGUGCGAAUGCUGACAUAAGUAACGAUAAAGCGGGUGAAAAGCCCGCUCGCCGGAAGACCAAGGGUUCCUGUCCAACGUUAAUCGGGGCAGGGUGAGUCGACCCCUAAGGCGAGGCCGAAAGGCGUAGUCGAUGGGAAACGGGUUAAUAUUCCCGUACUUGGUGUUACUGCGAAGGGGGGACGGAGAAGGCUAUGUUGGCCGGGCGACGGUUGUCCCGGUUUAAGCGUGUAGGCUGGUUUUCCAGGCAAAUCCGGAAAAUCAAGGCUGAGGCGUGAUGACGAGGCACUACGGUGCUGAAGCAACAAAUGCCCUGCUUCCAGGAAAAGCCUCUAAGCAUCAGGUAACAUCAAAUCGUACCCCAAACCGACACAGGUGGUCAGGUAGAGAAUACCAAGGCGCUUGAGAGAACUCGGGUGAAGGAACUAGGCAAAAUGGUGCCGUAACUUCGGGAGAAGGCACGCUGACACGUAGGUGAAGUGAUUUACUCAUGGAGCUGAAGUCAGUCGAAGAUACCAGCUGGCUGCAACUGUUUAUUAAAAACACAGCACUGUGCAAACACGAAAGUGGACGUAUACGGUGUGACGCCUGCCCGGUGCCGGAAGGUUAAUUGAUGGGGUCAGCGCAAGCGAAGCUCCUGAUCGAAGCCCCGGUAAACGGCGGCCGUAACUAUAACGGUCCUAAGGUAGCGAAAUUCCUUGUCGGGUAAGUUCCGACCUGCACGAAUGGCGUAAUGAUGGCCAGGCUGUCUCCACCCGAGACUCAGUGAAAUUGAACUCGCUGUGAAGAUGCAGUGUACCCGCGGCAAGACGGAAAGACCCCGUGAACCUUUACUAUAGCUUGACACUGAACAUUGAGCCUUGAUGUGUAGGAUAGGUGGGAGGCUUUGAAGUGUGGACGCCAGUCUGCAUGGAGCCGACCUUGAAAUACCACCCUUUAAUGUUUGAUGUUCUAACGUGGACCCGUUACCCGGGUUGCGGACAGUGUCUGGUGGGUAGUUUGACUGGGGCGGUCUCCUCCUAAAGAGUAACGGAGGAGCACGAAGGUUGGCUAAUCCUGGUCGGACAUCAGGAGGUUAGUGCAAUGGCAUAAGCCAGCUUGACUGCGAGCGUGACGGCGCGAGCAGGUGCGAAAGCAGGUCAUAGUGAUCCGGUGGUUCUGAAUGGAAGGGCCAUCGCUCAACGGAUAAAAGGUACUCCGGGGAUAACAGGCUGAUACCGCCCAAGAGUUCAUAUCGACGGCGGUGUUUGGCACCUCGAUGUCGGCUCAUCACAUCCUGGGGCUGAAGUAGGUCCCAAGGGUAUGGCUGUUCGCCAUUUAAAGUGGUACGCGAGCUGGGUUUAGAACGUCGUGAGACAGUUCGGUCCCUAUCUGCCGUGGGCGCUGGAGAACUGAGGGGGGCUGCUCCUAGUACGAGAGGACCGGAGUGGACGCAUCACUGGUGUUCGGGUUGUCAUGCCAAUGGCACUGCCCGGUAGCUAAAUGCGGAAGAGAUAAGUGCUGAAAGCAUCUAAGCACGAAACUUGCCCCGA
This 2108-nucleotide ribosomal RNA is filed under the name Salmonella enterica. RNAcentral describes it as "partial 23S ribosomal RNA". It matches the Rfam family "Bacterial large subunit ribosomal RNA", at positions 711 to 2802 of the family's 2925-position model. RNAcentral also lists the same sequence under 1 other name. Lineage: Bacteria; Pseudomonadati; Pseudomonadota; Gammaproteobacteria; Enterobacterales; Enterobacteriaceae. The record is from RNAcentral.